RNAcentral lists this unclassified non-coding RNA (572 nucleotides) under Hevea brasiliensis (rubber tree). Lineage: Eukaryota; Viridiplantae; Streptophyta; Magnoliopsida; Malpighiales; Euphorbiaceae. The record is from RNAcentral.
GGGAAAACCAAAGGAUGCUAACAUUUCAUGCAAAAGCAAUCAAAUAUAUGUAAGUUCAAGAACAUGAUUAAGGACAUUGAUACAAGCUAAAAUAGGAAUCAACACUUACUUUAACCAAUAUUAUAAAAAUUAAUUAUCAUCGACUGUCUUGGCACAAACAAGCUAUCAGUUAACAAAGGUACAAUUUAACCUUCACAGACUAAUUGACAGGCUACUAUCCAGCAAGCUCCGGCCUGAAACCGAAAGGCAAAUGGAUUGAGCUGUGCAAGAGCCUUUGCCUUUUAGCACAUCUGCCUACAGCUUAAAUUCAUUGCAGGGCUUUUAGGAUCUAAUAAUAUGUAGAAAGCACACUUCAUCGACCAGAUAGCCUUUAUUCAAUAGUCAAAAGAAGGAAAAUUUCCUCUUUCCUUCUGCACUUGUAAUAAAAGACAAUCACAUUAGUAUGGGUUAUACCGGCUGCGUCCACGGUUACUGUCAUUGCCACGUCUUCCACCGCUUGAGCUACCAGCACCACCACCCCUGCCAGCCCGAGGCUGUGGUGGAGGGGUGUGUGGUUGCAUUCCAGGCUGUUG